This 468-nucleotide ribosomal RNA is filed under the name uncultured bacterium. RNAcentral's name for it is "partial 16S ribosomal RNA". It matches the Rfam family "Bacterial small subunit ribosomal RNA", at positions 28 to 507 of the family's 1533-position model. The record is from RNAcentral.
GACGAACGCUGGCGGCGUGCUUAACACAUGCAAGUCGAACGGAAAGGCCCUGCUUUUGUGGGGUGCUCGAGUGGCGAACGGGUGAGUAACACGUGAGUAACCUGCCCUUGACUUUGGGAUAACUUCAGGAAACUGGGGCUAAUACCGGAUAGGAGCUCCUGCUGCAUGGUGGGGGUUGGAGAGUUUCGGCGGUUGGGGAUGGACUCGCGGCUUAUGAGCUUGUUGGUGGGGUAGUGGCUUACCAAGGCUUUGACGGGUAGCCGGCCUGAGAGGGUGACCGGCCACAUGGGGACUGAGAGACGGCCCAGACUCCUACGGGAGGCAGCAGGGGGGAAUAUUGCACAAUGGGCGGAAGCCUGAUGCAGCAACGCCGCGGGCGGGAAGACGGCCUUCGGGUUGUAAACCGCUUUCGCCUGUGACGAAGCGUGAGUGACGGUAAUGGGUAAAGAAGCACCGGCUAACUACGUG